GUCUCUUGCGAUACUUCGAAGCGUUACCGUCAUCGUCUUUUGCUUUUUCAAAAGUAUUUAUUCACGUAUAAUGUGAUAUAGAGUUUUAGUUAGACUGAAAAGUUUAAAAAGUUGAUACGUAGAAUAUCGGUUAUUAGAAAUAUGCAUUUAUGAAGUCACGUGAUAUCAGUGAAUUAAUGAACAGCCAAUCGGAUCACGGUCGGUCCGAAAUUCUUCUCAUUUUCGCGGCAACAAGGCGACCAUGUUGUUACCGGAACGUUGUGAUCCUGAUAUUUUUUGCUUUCCCAACAAUUGAUUUUCAACAACAUCAAAUUUUCAUCUAGAUCAUGCAGGAAAACGAUCCUAGAAUAACAGGAACGCGUAGAGGAAGAGCAGAAAAGAAAUAUACGAGCAGAGCAGCCUCCUACAUCUCCUACAACCGAGUGAGUUUCUUCCACGUCUCUCAGGCUUCUCGGAAAUCUUUCCUGACUGCUUCUGGAUUUAGUCGGUGAACCGUCACACACCUUGUCCGAGAAACGUCUCCCAACGGCAUCCAUGCAUAAAACAUGUUGAUAAGAUAAUGAGACAACGAUGGAAAUUUAGAACGAAUGGAAGAUAGAUCGACGAGUGUGACGUUCACCAUACACCGAAGAAACUGGAAAACAAGAGAUUGUUUCUAAAACCGAGAACUUUCAAUGAUUAUGGGUUUUCGACUUUCCAUUGGAAAAACCGCUAAUGCUCAACCGAGAUAGAUGGUAAAUUUCGUUUAAACUUCUCCGACAAUCUUCUUCAUCGUGGGGAAUAGAAGAGGAGGUGAGGAGGGAGGGGGAGGGGGAGAAAUAAAUAUUUGAGAGCGGCUGAAGAAGAUCUAGGGGCCUUACCGACGACGACGUGCUCAGUCUAGUUUGCAAAUUCAAGCAUCUCGAGAGAAGACCUACGACGACAACGAGGAGGAGAAGAAGAAGGAGAAAGAGGUGGUGGAGGAGCAGAAGGAGGAGGAGAAAGAUCGAAAACGCCGGAGGUCCUAAGCGACGCGAUUAUUUAACUUCCAACGUAAAAUGUAUAUACUCAUUAAAGUGGAUGUUGCCUAACACAGCAUCUCGGAUGAAACGCUCGCGCGCACAUCUUCAGGGGGGCUCGGUCGUGUGUACUGGAAGUUUAAUCGUUCGUAAAUUGAGAGUAGCGCGAGCUAUUAAGAGGUUAACCCAACGGGUAGGAGCGGGUAUAUUUGCAUGCAGUAUCGUUGCCUUAAUUGUUUCUAAAUUAAGGCAACGCCUCGUGUCCGGCGUGCGAGAGAAAAGGAAUCGCCUCUCUCUCUCUCUCUCUCUCUCUCUCUCUGUCUGUCUGUCUGUCUGUCUUUCUUUAUAGCAUCCUCGUUCGCUUCAUUAGCUCGACGAAAUACAGUCGCCUCGAAAUCACCGCAUUAGCAAUGAUGUCAAACUUUUUGCCAACUCGACGACCGUUCGAGAACUUUAAGAGACGUAUCGGACAUAUUGAGAUCUUUAACGAUCAUAAUAUUCCUUGAGAAGUCUCAUUUAUUCCGUAGAUUUUAAAAAACACUAAAGCGACACAUCGGGCGUCGUAUCUCUUUGAACAAUGAGCUUUCUCUUUCGCCUUUGAAGAAACGAGAGGGAGAGAGAGGAAAGAAGAUUCGCAAAGUCGGAGGCAAACGAACUCGAGUUUCUUACAGCUCGAGCAUGGUGCUGCUCGCGUGGUGCCGAGCUAUCAAUUUAAUCGUCGCUUGAUGAAUGGAAGGAUCGGUUUUCUUAAAGUGCCGGUUUCUCUCGACCUAUCUCGUUCUCUUCUUUUCAACUACCUCCUUCUUUCUCCCGAGUCUUCUUGUAUGUACUCUCUCGAGGCAACGUGCGCGCGAGCAAAGCGUUUCGAGAGUCAUAUAUCCGUGCCGCGGCGCGCCCUUAAAUUAUGCGCGCAAUUACGUGUACCUGCAUCGCGUAAGUGCAUCGAGCUACGGAGUUGCACGCACCCGAGUAAAUGCAUCUCCUCUCUCUCUCUCUCUCUCUCUCUCUCUCGAUAAAGGCACACCCAAGAGAAUGUUCAACCUAGAAGGAUUCACUUUUACAUUUUUCCUUGGUAUAUUAAAUUUUUUAUUUAUGAAUUAUAAUAUCACCUUUAAUUCGUCCAUUUACACGUGCAUGCGCGUUGCACAUAUUAUUAUAUUUUCGUUCGAAUUUGUUUGCUCCUUUGGAAAGUUAUACGACGAAACGAUCGUCCACUUCGUAAUAACCCUUUUAACUGUCUAAUAAGGGUUAUUAUACGCGUGAAUCGAACGAGUCGGUUUAUAUUCAGCGAUCUUUAAAGAGCAGAGGUAAAAACGCGUGCCUUAGGUCGACAGCUUGAAAAUUCUGUCGUGUGAUUAUAGAUUCACGAGCCGACGAAACCGUUACUCGUUCGGGACUUCUAUACCACCGUGAUUCGAUUUCUCUGUUCUCCGGCACCUCUCCGAUCCCGAGGCGAGGAAGGAAGCUUCAAAAAAGAAAAAAAAGAAGAAAAAAGAAGAAGUCGAUCGGGGAGCCACCAUCCUUUCUUUCUCUCUUUCUCUGCUUUGAAAGCGAUGCUAUUCUUCCAUUCCUCUCUCUCUCUCUCUCUCUCUCUCUCUCUCUCAUUCUGUUACGAGAGCAUCUCCCGUGGAACGCCUGUAUAAAUUUCAGCACGUACACGGGUACACGCACACGCAUAAAUUCCACGUGCCCCUCGGGGUACACAGCGCACACGUAAAACAGUGCCUCAACUCGCGGGCUACGCCGGAGAGAUACGCAUAAGCAUGCGGCAGCAAGAUAGAAAGCGAGAGAAAGAUAGCUGGAAAAAGACAGAGAGAGAGAAAGAGAGAGAAAACGAAAGAUGGAGGAGGAUAGAAAGAAGGAGGGACCUGCGUGUUCAAACAAAAGUAAGCCUGCAACCUGCACCUCGGCUGCGCAUAAUGCGCUUCUUACUCUUUGCGAGUACUUCUAUCUUUUCUCUCUCUCUCUCUCUCCUUCUUUCUCUCUAUCUUGCACGAAACCACCUACAUUCUCCUAUCUCUCCUUCCUCCUUGCCCUCGUGCACCUCGUACCCCGUAUCACACCGUCUCCGUCUCGUCUGAAUUUCUCUCCUUUCCUUCUCUCCAUCUCUGAGAGAUCUUUUCCUCUUCGUUUUGCCGAUGUUACACGCCGCGAAGGUAACAUCCGGGCGAAUGUCUUCUUGUUGCCAGGUGUGCGAGCGAACGUACUUACCUUCUUUAUUUCUUUUGCAUUUAUUAGUCUUAUUGUGUUAGAGUCGUUUCAUAUGUAAUCGAUCAUUUUUCGUUCUUUCUUUCUUUCUUUCUUUCUUUCUUUCUUUCUUUCUUUUUUCUUUUUUCUCUUUUUUUUUUCUUGCUUCAAGUAAACACUUCCGACAUUUUAUUCGGAAUACAUUUUUAUUCGAGAUCGGAUAACUGUGUACCUUUCGUGACUCGGCACGACGCAUGCGAGAGGAUUUUUGUUUUGUUUAUAUCUCUCCUCUCCUUUUUCCUUUUGUUCUUCUUCGAAAUAUUAAGAAUUAUCUUAAUUCCAAAAUACAUCUCUUUAGAGAGGAGAAAUAAUAUUUAAUGCGAACGAUAAACGAUCUGCUACGUAAAAUAUGUGUACGUACUUACGUGCCAUCGACGAAGAACAGGGGAAUGAUCGAUUUGAAUAUAAUCGUUCUCGCGCUGUGUAAAAUAUUAUCUCGCUGGAAUAUAUUUUAUUUUUCGAAACGAACCGCCUGUAUGUGUACGUAGAUACCGAUAACUCCCGAUCACCUUGUUUGAGUUUGAAUAUUUCAUUUGAUUUAUUUUUCGUUGAUCUUCCUUUAAACGAUAUAUCCCCAAGUAUGUUUACCUUUAGAGAUAUUCAACGUUUCUUUAUCGUAAGAAGUUAGUUGUUAAUACGAACGCGGACUAUCGACUGUUAUUGUGGUUACGUAUUUUCCAGGAAAUUCGUUCUCGUGCGAAAACGUAAACAAAACAUUGUCGAGCGUUCGACUUUACAGUGGACCAAAGGGAAUAUCCAUUCUCAGUGUAAUACGAUAUCUGUUGGCAAGAGCAUCGUUUGGCUUCGUACGAGUAUAGCGAUUUCGUCAUUUCGAUUUACAAGUAAUUUCAAGGCACAGGAAUUUCGAUCUAACUCGUUUUCGUAAUCUAUUCGGCGAUCAACCUUUCUAAAUUUCGAUCUACAAGACUUGGACGAGUACGUUGAAUCUAUCGUCGAAAAGUUUCGUAAAUAAUUCUUAUGCGAGCGUAAGAGAGGAAGAAAAAAAGGAAGAAAGAAGGAAAGAAGGAAAGAAAGAAAAAAAAAAAAAGAAAAAGAGAUAGAAACGUUGAACGUCGUCUCAUUGAUCGCUUCGCGUCCAUUGAAUUCUGAAGGAGCGAAAGAGGAGAAAAACGAGAGUGGGUUCGAAAAGAAGAAUCGUGCCGUAACUUCCCUCGUUCGUCUCCUCGAGAGCACGAUACUCCGACGUUCUUCUUCGUGACUUCUUGAAAAUAACGGAAUAAUUGAAAGACAAGUAUGAGCUCCGUAGGUAGGCACUGAUGAAGCCGUUGAGAAAAAGAGAGAGAGAGAGAGAGAAAAAAAGAGAGAAAAGAUAUAUAGAGAAUAGCGUUAGGAAGGGUUUGCAAUUUUUACGACCCUUUCCACCAAGCUCUCUCUCUCGAGAGAGAGAGAGAAAGAGAAGAAGAAGAAGAAGAAGAUUCUCGACCCAAUAAUCCGUGUACCGAACCAGGAAGAAAAGGUAUCUAGCUAUGUAUCUACGUGCAUUGAACGGCUUUGCUCGAGCUUCUUGCCAACGUUUUUCCUUCUUUUUUUUCUCUCUCUCUCUUUUUGCUCUCUUUCUCUCUCCUUCAUUUCUAAUCUCUCACGUGCGUUAACUUCACACGUUUUCGAGCACGUAGAAUAUCGCCGGUUACAUCACGAACAUUCUAGGAAAUAAAUUUGUUCGGUUCGGCUCCGAAUUCUCCGCUAACUCCAUUCUCGUUUCGUUUUUACUUGGCUCUCAAGACCCUUUUCGAUCGAACGCCGGUAUCAAUUCGAAUUGAUUUUUAUUGACCGCAAUUCGGUCUAUCGCCGUUCGACGUCAGAAAAUAAGGAGAAAGAACAUCGUACUCUGCUAGAAAUCGAGAUAGGCUUCUUCCCUCUUUCCGGAUAAAUCGUUAGCUCGGGAAGUGCGCGUCGCUUGUCGAAUCGAAAUCGAAUUAUCUCUCGUUUCUUUUCGUACCCUCGUUAUUGCGCUUCUGUCUGUCUGUUCUGUUUAAUCGAUCGGUCGUUCGAGGUUCGCUUGAAAAAAAAGGAAAAAAGAGAACGAAGAAGAAGAACAACAAAAAGAAGAAAAAAAAAAGAGAAGAGAAGAGAAAAGAGAAAGAUAGUGGAAACGUUUAUUGUCUAUCGUCGUUGAAAGUCGCAAUGGCGAAUCGCGUAAAUCUAAGACGAGGAAUCCGACAUUUGUAAAAGGAAAAAAGAUGAAAAGAAAGAAAGAUGCAACUAUCUGCUGUAACUAUCGCGUUUCAUUGAUAUAUGGCAUAGAAAAAGUGAGACAAGUAUGUUCGUCAAACAUCUUGCGAGCAUCGAGGUGAGCAUCGAGAAGAGAAUGGCUAAGGAAAAAGGUGUAGUUGAGAGUUUCUCUAGGAGAGCGUGCAUCGGGUCGAUCAGAUAACCACGAGAUAGUUAAUAACCUCGUUCAGCCACCGUCUGAAAUUCCACGAUCGGUUCCUGUUAUUAAGCUCUCCUGCCUCGGCCAGGCCGCGCCGCCUCCUCUUCGAGUUAUUUUCGUAGCGAAGGCGAUCGCUGCAAUUAGAGAUUAAUCGUCGUUAGAUCGGAUCGCUGAUCGGUAUUUAAGAUCACGACAUUAUCUCCUUCUCUCUUUCUCUCUCUCUCUCUUUCGAUUGUAUCUUUCUCCGUGAAAGAGAAAAAUCAACAGGUGGAUUCUUCUUUGAAUAUCUCAGAGUUUCCAUAAAGCGAAUUUAACCUUUCGCGAAAAUCGAUAUUUUUAAUAGAUAUUCGAUAAUCAUCGUAUUAAUCAAUAUCGAUGAAACGACGUAAUUUAUUCGUUCUAGUUAACGUGAAAAAGUUUAGAAAGUUUAGCAGGGAAAUGAUCGAAGCAUCCUUUGGACGAACGUUUCGCGUCGUAGUAUUUUUUGUCACGGUGAAUUCCUUCGAAGAAGCCAAGGUAUUUCUCGCACCCUUUUCUCCUCCGACAGUCGUCCUAUCGCACGCGCAUCAUCCUUCUCUCGCACGAUCUCGAAUCUCGUCAACUUAAUCUCCAGCUCGUUUUGUACUAACGACUCGAAGCGCACCCUUUACGAAGAAACAAAAGGGAAAACUAUGGGGUGUACAAGGAUCGUGUACGACGAAAAGAAAAAAAACAAGAAAAAAGAAAUGUUGCAGGACAUCGAAGGCGCAUGCUCGACAGUUCGAACCUGUUUCAGGUUCAGGAUAUCGCGCUGAAUCUUUCCUUCUCCUUUGAUUUACGCUUUUUCUUUCGGGCAAAUCCAAAGCAAGAUCUUUCUUCAGUUAAAUGCUACUCUCGUUUCGUUGAUCCUUUUUCUAUCUUUUCUUUUCUCUUUUCCUUUCUUCUUCUUCUUCUUCUUCUUCUCUUCUUACACGCAAUUGCAUCGUGCGAUUGCAAUAAUUUUUCUAACUCGGUUUUUCUACGAAAACAAUUUUAUUCGACGUGAAAUAUAUAUAUAUAUAUAUAUAUAUAUAUAUAUAUAUAUAUAGCGAUCGUGACUAGAAUUCAAGUAUAAUAUAAACGCGGAGAAAAAUAGGUGUGACAAGGAUAGAUACGUGAUUCCCUCUGAAGCCGUCUGCGGUAAGCUUCGUGGUUGGAUAAACUGCCUCGUGCGAGACUCAGCUUAGUACCGAAGAAAAUUGCCAAAUAAUUUCGUUCGUUUUUCUUUGCUCUCAUCCAUCCAGACGCACGCACAUCCCACGUUCAUGAGAAUUUUCGAAGAGAAAAUCGUGAUUUUUAUCUCGUUUAUUUUUCUCUCCGAGUAAGUUUAGUUAUUCGAUUUUAGCGGACGCGUUCACUCGUAGAAUAUUUUCCGAGUUUCUUCGUCGGAGGAAAAUUCUUUAGCGCGAGUAUCCGUGGAAAAUUGUUGUUUGAAGUUGCAUCGAGUUAAUUUAUUAAGUAAAAUACUUGAUAAGAUCGAGGAGUCGCAGGCGUGCGCGCGCGUGCCUGCGUUCUCAAGUUUAUUGAAAUCAGCAACGAGUUAAAAUUUCAAGAUAGGCAUCGAGAAAGUCCGUAGGGUAAGGCGGGUAGUUAAUGAACGAAGUAGAUGCUUCGUUCCAUGAGUAGAAAUUUGCACGUACCAAGUGGAUACUUAGAAGUAGGAGCUCUCAGCUUUGAGAAGAGUAUCUACCCAUUAUUUUUCGAGAUACCCAAACUAACGCGACGGAUUUAUCGAUCCUUAUUGUUAUAUUAAUUUCUCAUAAGAUAGAUGCUCUUAUUUGAAUGAAACGUGAGACUACACGCGUGCACGUACAUUUAAGCGCGUAUCGUCGUUCAAAAAGGAAAAAAGAAAAAAGAAGGAAACGAAGAGAAAAGAGAAAGAUGAAAGAAGAAGAAGAAAAAGAAGAAGAAGAAAGUAAAAAAAGAAAAAAAAAAAGAAAUUGGCGUUACGUUCACGAUGGAAGAAGUAUCGUACGAGAGAAGAGGCACCUCUCAGAAAUUAUAAAGAAGGUAGUAGUACCGUGCUAUUAGCCAUGUAUACCAGAGAAAUUAUUCUCAGCUCUCGCAGGUGCUUCGUCCGUUUCCAAUCACUUCGUCUCUCGAUAAUCGUGCACCACCAAUCGAGCCUAUUGCCAGAUGCGCGAUAAUUAUCGUGGUAGGACGAUAAUCUCAUUACGAAAUUAUAGCGUGACGAGACCGUUAUAUAUCGUACCGAACGUCUUUUUGCUAAUGAAGUAUCGAUCGAGACGGAUCGAUCUUCAUUAUCGAAAAUUAUUUCAAUGGGCCAAACUGCGAUAGUGUUUUUGUUAUUAUAGUCUCUCUCUUUUAUUUCUUUUUUAUUUAUUUAUUUAUUUAUCUUUUCAUUAUUUCCAUUUCUUUCCGAUAGCAAUAUCGUCGCAGGUGCGUACUCCCGAGUAUUGCCUGUUACCAGCUCCGCGCCAACCACCCACGCAUGUGAAAAUUCCGACGAAACGAGCAACCGAAGCGUUGGAGCAUUAAUAACUUUGAACCACGGGGGGGGGGAGGGUUUUGCUUCUUUUUUACUUCGUUUGUUUCUUCGCGCCGCGUAGGGAUCGAGAAAGAGAGGGAACGGAAGAGACAAGCGGUAGUGCCAUUACAAGGAAUAUUAAUUAUCAAUAACGGCCGUUCUACGUUUCUUUCGAGAAAAGAAAAGAGAAGAGAAGGGAUAGGACCGUGUCCGAGAGGGCAUCGAAUUCUUCGACAAUUAAAUUACGCGUUAAAAUUCGCCAUGGGAAUUACUUGGGAAAAAUUAUUAGAUCUGACCACCCAGAAAGACGACGAGUAGGAAGUAUCCACUCGUUAUUAACUUUUUUUUCUUUCUCUUUCCAUAGAGGACAAAGUCUCCAUGAAAAAGAAAUAAAAAAAAGUAUUUAAAGAAUUUCGUAAUCCCGAGGAUCGUAAGGAAAAGCAGAUAAAUUGGGUGCAUCCUCGAGGGCCCAAUUUGUCCGCUUUUCUCACGCUCGCGAUAAAAUUCUUUGGCCGAGUAAAUAUCUAACCUGUUUAAAGCGACCCACUAAUUCUUUAUUCUCUCUUGAACGUUCGCUCGGGGAAAGGUGGAAGAUGCUUUCGAUUAAUUAUUCCGUGAGCGUCGGGAGCCAGCUCGAAAUUAAAAUCGGUUCGUUAACCGGUACUACGUGGAAUUUUUUCUUAAUUCGUGAGACCGUUCCCGAGCUACCGAUUACCAUCCCUUUGCGUCCUCCUACGAAAAGGAGAGGAUCUCUUCGCUCUUCUAUGAUUCUAAUGAGGCGUCGAAAAAACGAACGGACCCUCCAGAAACUUUAUGGCGCUACCGUAACGUUUAUUUCGAUCCAACCUCUUCGUAAAUCCAACGAAAAUCGGUGAUCGUGCUCUCGAUAGGUUUAAGUCGAUGUCCUCGACUGUCAACGAGUUACGAGGGAUUUUACGCGAGGGACAUCAAAGUACCGAAAUGUGAACUUCGAUCGGACUUUUAUUGCUCGGGAACAGAUUUUUAUCGGGAUCGUUAGAUCUAACGGCCUGCUUGAUCGUUCCUUUCUACUUUCUUAUUCGAUUACAGUUUUUUCAACUUGUACCGAUUAUCCCUCGAGACAAGAUCCUCGAUGUCUCUUAAUCUUGCGCGGCUAAAUUUUUAUUCUUCAAUUAGCGUCACUCUUCAAUUAAGUUCAUCUUCGUCGUCUUGGUAUAUUCCGCGGUCCAUCGCGUAGCGAAAAAAUGGCCAACUCUCUUCAAAGACACACAGAGAGAGAGAGAGAGAGAGAGAGAGAGAGAGUAGCGUGCUUGUGCACUUAGCCACCUUAAACGGAUUACUCGGCGCAUAUCUUGCUGCUUUUCGUUGAAAUGGAGAACGGUGUUGUGCUAGCUGUGCCUAGACUAAUUCAAUCUCGAGCCACCACCCAGACAACGUUUCUCCAUGGAUCCGUCAUACUCAUAUGUAUCUACGUAUCCACCGAGGACGCAUAAUUGAUCGAGUUACAUAGCUCGUCUGAGUCAGUAAUGACGUUCUCUAACGAAGAACGAGAGUGCUUGCUUCAUCAACGAGAGACUUCUAGUUCUUCUAAUUUCCUUUCUCUUUAAACGCUUAGCUUUUACGAACCAACGAGAGAGAGAAGGAGAGCAGCCGAUUUCCAAUCUAUCAAUUUCCUCGAAACGAGGCUAACGAGUGAAAUUCGAAAAUACUCGCUACUUUUUCUUUAAAUAGCCGUCAAAUUUUAGCGUACUAAAGUUUCUGAUCCCAUUAUAAGAUUGUUAAAUAUUUGAUCGUCAGAUCGUUAUCGUUAUUAAAGCCUGGCAAUAAAAAGUUUUUUUUCCCAAACUCCUACCCGUUGAUACCUGACUCGGGUCGGCGGGUUGCCUUUGAAAUCUAGAAGGAUAACUUCUAACUGUACACCUUUUUCAUCUAAUAGUCGAACCGUGAAACACACGCCACGUAGUCGUCGUGUCGUGUCGUGUCGUUUCUAACGAGCUUGAAUUUAAUGACAGUCUUCCGGAGUUCUCUUGGAAAGCUAAAAGGUCUUUACCAUUUUUAAGAGAUCAUUCUCUGUUAUUUUAUUUAUUGCGACAAGCAUUCAUCUCGUUCCCAUGUCGUUACUCUUUGCAAAAUACUUUGCCUCGGUACUUAGUGCCUACCCACGUGAAAUAUAUUUCAAAAUUUAAAUGGAAUUGUUAUAUAGGUACGAGGAAAGAAAUAAAGAUCACGGUCAUUAUACGUAUUAACUGCAGCUUACACAAAUUGGAAUGCGGUCGAAGGGAAAGGGCUCGAAAGAGAGGAUUCGUUCGUCGGGAGGACAAUUAACCUUUGGGUCAGCUGUCGGCAGCACGGCUAAGUUCACUUUUCGUUCGGGGAUUUCUGCUCGUGCCUUUCGAGGAGGCUAUCCGGUUCGUUUCGUCGUUGUAGGACGAAAAGGGUUCGAGUAGAUUAGCUAAUCUGAGAAAUAGGGAUGGAGGGAAGGUCGAAGAAAGAAAUCAACGACCGAGAUUUCAUUAGAGAUAUUUUCACCGACGAUGACGAUUAAAAAAGAAGAAAAAAAAAAAAUAGAAAAAAGAAGGAGAAAGAGGAAUAGGAAGAAAAAGGAUCGAUCGAAGAAGCGACAAGAUCGAAACACACGCUCUGUCUCUCGAGAUUAGGCGUGUUAAGGUAGACAGAAAACGCGUUACAUAGCUCACAAAUCGGGGGAGUGGGUGAUAAAGCAGGUAUCGUUACAGAACGCUAGAAAGUUAGACUAGUCGCGCACAAACUCGUCCUACGCUUAAGAUUCUUUUUCGUUCGAUAUUCCAAGAUCUAUGUUAUCGUCGAAGGACGAGGAUUUAAAAGAAAUGAAAUAUAUAAAAUCCCUUUAAACGUA
This is a long non-coding RNA of Vespula vulgaris, 10997 nucleotides long. RefSeq lists it as uncharacterized. The record is from RefSeq and is a predicted model, not a curated record. NCBI's taxonomy places the organism in Eukaryota, Metazoa, Arthropoda, Insecta, Hymenoptera, Vespidae. The transcript has 6 exons.